This is a long non-coding RNA of Rosa rugosa (rugosa rose), 1266 nucleotides long. RefSeq lists it as uncharacterized. The transcript is spliced from 8 exons. NCBI's taxonomy places the organism in Eukaryota, Viridiplantae, Streptophyta, Magnoliopsida, Rosales, Rosaceae. The record is from RefSeq and is a predicted model, not a curated record.
UACAAACCCAAACCCGACCAGAACCUCAAUCAAAACGAACGCUCCGCAACCCUAAUCUUAAAAACUCAGUCCCUCAAAAAAGCCCCAAUCUUUCACCGCAGAGAACAGGUGUUCAAGGUCCUGAAUUUCAUCCAUCCAAGCAAUGGCUUCUUCUUCUCUGAAGCAAACAAGGGUACUUCUCCAUUCUCAUCUCAGAGAAUUGGUAUUCAACAUCACUGAAACAAAGGUGCUACACAAAUCUGGGGUCAGGCAUCAUCUAUUGUAAAACACCUUGAAUGUCUCGAUUGCUGCAUCUAAAGGUGGUAGAUAACUAUAGGGUUUACGCUUCAUUGAUUGGGACUCAGUUUCAAGAUCAUAGUUCCUUCAUUUGAAAGGGCUCCAUUUGAUUGACACCAGAGUCGAUGGCAAUUAGUCAAUUAGUUUCGCUGCAUUAGUUCCAGGUUUAUUUGGUGGAGACCUCUGAACUGGCAGUUGUGAAAUUCAGAGGAGGUGGCACUGGCGAGUUUAUCACCACCCAGAAGAUUCAAAGGGUUCCUGCUAGCAAAAGAUCCCUUUUGGUCCUCUGUGCUUUUAGAUUACUAAAAAUUGGCUACGGAGGACCAUGCUGCAACCUUUGUCGACAGAUUGCCUUUACUGUUCUGGGUUUUUGGGCAGAGAAGGGAGAUUUGAAGUUCACACAAGAUAUUACCACAUAGAUGUUAAUCUGAAGAAAAUUUAGAGCUGAAAACUCUUACUGAUCAUCGCCACCUAGCAUGUUUAGUGACAAAGAUGGAUGAAAGAAACUAGAAACAGAGGUUUUUGAGCAUUUACAUUUAGUUGGCAAUAGUGGUUCCUACUCAAGCAGCGGCUUCCUGCAACAGCAACGAAUUCCUACCACAGCAACGCUUCCUACAAUAGCACCGACUCCAUGCAACAGCAACAGCUUCCUGAAACAAUAGUGGCUUCCUCUCAAGAAAGGAUGAAGAAAUCCCAGUGAAAAAGAAAUGCAUCAAGAAUUAAGAUGUCCUUUUGAGAACCCAGUUCAAGAGUAGCCAAUUAUGUUGGAAGAAUUACCAGCCAACAGAGGGGUUUGUAUUCUAUCACUGUAAAAUUAUCAAUUUCAAAGUCAAUAUAAUUAGGCAUUUUAAAGAAAUUACCAAGGCAUAUAUGACACAUUUAUUAUGCUUUUCAAAAUUGAGGGAUAUAAAUUAUUGUUCAUUUAUGGUCCUCAAUAGCUUAUGGUAAUAACAGGUGACUCAUAGCAACAGCUGGAUUUUCCAAUUAUUA